RNAcentral lists this ribosomal RNA (407 nucleotides) under uncultured bacterium. RNAcentral describes it as "partial 16S ribosomal RNA". It matches the Rfam family "Bacterial small subunit ribosomal RNA", at positions 30 to 526 of the family's 1533-position model. The record is from RNAcentral.
AUUGAACGCUGGCGGCAGGCCUAACACAUGCAAGUCGAGCGGAGCGGCGGACGGGUGAGGAAUGCCUAGGAAUCUGCCUGGUAGUGGGGGAUAACGUCCGGAAACGGGCGCUAAUACCGCAUACUAUUGGAUGCGCCUAGGUCGGAGUAGCUAUUUGGGGGGGUAAUGGCCUACCAAGGCGACGAUCCGUAACUGGUCUGAGAGGAUGAUCAGUCACACUGGAACUGAGACACGGUCCAGACUCCUACGGGAGGCAGCAGUGGGGAAUAUUGGACAAUGGGCGAAAGCCUGAUCCAGCCAUGCCGCGUGUGUGAAGAAGGUCUUCGGAUUGUAAAGCACUUUAAGUUGGGAGGCGUUACCAGCAGAAUAAGCACCGGCUAACUUCGUGCCAGCAGCCGCGGUAAUAC